GGAUGAAGAACGUAGCGAAAUGCGAUAAGUAGUGUGAAUUGCAGAAUUCAGUGAAUCAUCGAAUCUUUGAACGCACAUUGCGCCCCUUGGUAUUCCAUGGGGCAUGCCUGUUCGAGCGUCAUUUGUACCUUCAAGCUCUGCUUGGUGUUGGGUGUUUGUCUCGCCUCUGCGUGUAGACUCGCCUCAAAACAAUUGGCAGCCGGCGUAUUGAUUUCGGAGCGCAGUACAUCUCGCGCUUUGCACUCAUAACGACGACGUCCAAAAGUACAUUUUUACACUCUUGACCUCGGAUCAGGUAGGGAUACCCGCUGAACUUAAGCAUAUCAAUAAGCGGAGGA
RNAcentral lists this unclassified non-coding RNA (338 nucleotides) under soil metagenome. RNAcentral's name for it is "partial contains 5.8S ribosomal RNA, internal transcribed spacer 2, and large subunit ribosomal RNA". The stretch from base 2 to 121 matches the Rfam family "5.8S ribosomal RNA", at positions 35 to 154 of the family's 154-position model. The record is from RNAcentral.